This 87-nucleotide transfer RNA is filed under the name Pseudomonadota bacterium. Its description in RNAcentral is "tRNA-Leu". It matches the Rfam family "tRNA". Rfam says of the family: Transfer RNA (tRNA) molecules are approximately 80 nucleotides in length. The record is from RNAcentral. RNAcentral also lists the same sequence under 3 other names. Lineage: Bacteria; Pseudomonadati; Pseudomonadota.
GCCGAAGUGGCGGAACUGGCAGACGCGCUGCGUUCAGGGCGCAGUGCCCGCAAGGGCGUGUGGGUUCGAAUCCCACCUUCGGCACCA